AUACGUAGGGUGCGAGCGUUGUCCGGAAUGAUUGGGCGUAAAGGGCGCGUAGGCGGCCCGGUAAGUCUGGAGUGAAAGUCCUGUUUUUAAGAUGGGAAUUGCUUUGGAUACUGUCGGGCUUGAGUGCAGGAGAGGUAAGUGGAAUUCCUAGUGUAGCGGUGAAAUGCGUAGAUAUUAGGAGGAACACCAGUGGCGAAGGGGGCCUGCUGGACGACAACUGACGCUGAGGCGCGAAAGCGUGGGGAGCAAACAGGAUUAGAUACCCUGGUAGUCCACGCUGUAAACGAUGAAUACUAGGUGUGGGGGGACUGACCCCCUCCGUGCCGCAGUUAACACAAUAAGUAUUCCACCUGGGGAGUACGAUCGCAAGAUUGAAACUCAAAUGAAUUGACGGGG
Molecule: ribosomal RNA, 396 nt
Filed under: uncultured bacterium
Lineage: Bacteria
Description: partial 16S ribosomal RNA
Rfam family: Bacterial small subunit ribosomal RNA
Source: RNAcentral